GGAAGGGGUGUAUUUAUUAGAUAAAAAACCAACGCCCUUCGGGGCUUCUUGGUGAUUCAUGAUAACUUCACGGAUCGCAUGGCCUUGCGCCGGCGACGGUUCAUUCAAAUUUCUGCCCUAUCAACUUUCGAUGGUAAGGUAUUGGCUUACCAUGGUUUCAACGGGUAACGGGGAAUUAGGGUUCGAUUCCGGAGAGGGAGCCUGAGAAACGGCUACCACAUCCAAGGAAGGCAGCAGGCGCGCAAAUUACCCAAUCCCGACACGGGGAGGUAGUGACAAUAAAUACUGAUACAGGGCUCCUUUGGGUCUUGGAAUUGGAAUGAGUACAAUUUAAAUCCCUUAACGAGGAACAAUUGGAGGGCAAGUCUGGUGCCAGCAGCCGCGGUAAUUCCAGCUCCAAUAGCGUAUAUUAAAGUUGUUGCAGUUAAAAAGCUCGUAGUUGAACCUUGGGCCUGGCUGGCCGGUCCGCCUCACCGCGUGUACUGGUCCGGCCGGGCCUUUCCUUCUGGGGAACCUCAUGCCCUUCACUGGGCGUGUUGGGGAACCAGGACUUUUAC
RNAcentral lists this ribosomal RNA (557 nucleotides) under uncultured fungus. Its description in RNAcentral is "SSU rRNA". It matches the Rfam family "Eukaryotic small subunit ribosomal RNA", at positions 194 to 755 of the family's 1831-position model. Lineage: Eukaryota; Fungi. The record is from RNAcentral.